RNAcentral lists this transfer RNA (76 nucleotides) under Candidatus Thiodiazotropha sp. RNAcentral's name for it is "tRNA-Gly". It matches the Rfam family "tRNA". From Rfam's summary of the family: Transfer RNA (tRNA) molecules are approximately 80 nucleotides in length. Their secondary structure includes four short double-helical elements and three loops (D, anti-codon, and T loops). Further hydrogen bonds mediate the characteristic L-shaped molecular structure. tRNAs have two regions of fundamental functional importance: the anti-codon, which is responsible for specific mRNA codon recognition, and the 3' end, to which the tRNAs corresponding amino acid is attached (by aminoacyl-tRNA synthetases). tRNAs cope with the degeneracy of the genetic code in two manners: having more than one tRNA (with a specific anti-codon) for a particular amino acid; and 'wobble' base-pairing, i.e. permitting non-standard base-pairing at the 3rd anti-codon position. Lineage: Bacteria; Pseudomonadati; Pseudomonadota; Gammaproteobacteria; Chromatiales; Sedimenticolaceae. The record is from RNAcentral.
GCGGGAGUAGCUCAGUUGGUAGAGCGCGACCUUGCCAAGGUCAAGGCCACGGGAUCAUACCCCGUUUCCCGCUCCA